GUUUCUACCGCUGACUGUUUCUACUGCUGAUUCUACUGCCGAAGGUUUCUACUGUCGAUUCUACUGCCAAAGGUUUCUACUGUCGAAAGUUUGUACUGCUGCAGGUUUCUGCUGCUGAGUUUUUCUGCUGCUGAGUUUUUCUACUGCUGAGUAUUUCUAGUGCUGACUGUUUCUAGUGCCAAAGGUUUUUACUGCUGAGUAUUUUUACUGCCAAAGGUUUCUACUGCUGAGUGUUUCUGCUGCUGAAGGUUUCUGUUGCUGAAAGUUUUGACUGCUGAGUGUUUCUACUGCCAAAGGUUUCUACUGCCAAGUGUUUCUACUGCUGAGUGUUUUUUUACUGCUGAUUAUUUUUACUGCCGAAGGUUUCUACUGCUGAGUGUUUCUAGUGUCGGGUGUUUCUGCUGCCAAAGGUUUCUACUGCUGAGUGUUUCUAUGCUGAGUGUUUCUAUUGCUGAGUGUUUUUUUACUGCUGAUUAUUUUUACUGCCGAAGGUUUCUACUGCUGAGUGUUUCUAGUGUCGGGUGUUUCUGCUGCCAAAGGUUUCUACUGCUGAGGUUUUUUUUACUGCUGAGUAUUUUUUACUGCUGAAGGUUUUUACUGCUGUAUGUUUUUUUUUUACUGCUGAGUAUUUUUACUGCCGAAGGUUUCUAUUGCUGAGUGUUCCUGCUUCUGAAGAUUUCUACCGCUGACUGUUUCCACCGCUGAGUGUUUCUACUGCUGAAGGUUUCUACUGCCAAGUGUUUCUACCGCUGAGUGUUUCUACUGCCAAGUGUUUCUACUUGCCGUUUCUGCUGCCGAAGGUUUCUACUGCUGAGUGUUUCUAUGCUGAGUGUUUCAGCUGCUGAAGGUUUCUACUGCUGAGUGUUUCUACUGGUACGGGGCGAUCGUGGCUCAAGAGUUGGGAGUUCGCCUUGUAAUCGGAAGGUUGCCGGUUCGAGCCCCGGCUUGGACAGUCUCGGUCGUUGUGUCCUUGGGCAAGACACUUCACCCGUUGCCUACUGGUGGUGGUCAGAGGGCCCGGUGGCGCCAGUGUCCGGCAGCCUCGCCUCUGUCAGUGCGCCCCAGGGUGGCUGUGGCUACAAUGUAGCUGCCAUCACCAGUGUGUGAAUGGGUGGAUGACUGGAUAUGUAAAGCGCUUUGGGGUCCUUAGGGACUAGUAAAGCAUUAUAUAAAUACAGACCAUUUAGUGCUGAGGGUUUUUUACUGCUGAAG
Astatotilapia calliptera (eastern happy) is the source of this 1212-nucleotide long non-coding RNA. NCBI's taxonomy places the organism in Eukaryota, Metazoa, Chordata, Actinopteri, Cichliformes, Cichlidae. The record is from Ensembl.